GGAAGAGAACAGUUAUAAGGAUGAGAGCAGUUUUCCUGCAGAAAUGUUGCCAAGAUGAUGGUGAGGAGAAGUCAGAAUCUGGAUAUAACUUCGAAGAUAGGUUCAACAGGUCGGGUGAUGACUCUGAGCUUUUGAAACUCAGAUUGAAAGAAUCCUUGACAACACAGAUAAGAAGCACCAAUGCUGAAUGGCUGUCCCAGGACAACUGGAUGCUGCACCUUUGUAGACUCUUGACUACCCAGUUCCUCAGGGCUACAUGGCUUGAAACUGAGUCGUAUCUGACUCUGUACCAUGGCCCAUGGUCUGCUGUGCCACUGACUACCUGAUGGACUUGGGCCUCCUCUGCUCCCUAGGAGGCUGAAAUAAUGUGGAGCAAUGGGAUUAGCGCAGAGGCAGGAAGCCGAUUAGUAGGUUUGUGGUAGGGGGUGGGGUGCUGGGGGAAUGUUGCAGGGAAGCAGGAGUUGGGUUGGCAACUCAAGGGGCUCUGCUGAAAGAGGGGGUGCUGGGCCUGUUACCAGGAACUGACAGUAACACUGGUGCUGGCAAAGAAGCUCCAGGUGUCUAACUGGACUGAUGCAGGGAUUAGCAAUAGAAUUAGCAAUGCAUCUGAGUUAACCACAUCGGGGUGACUGCACUUGAACCUGCCCCAGUAUAACCAGAUCUGUGAACUAACAGUAAUAGCAAAACCAAAUCAGCUCAGGCCUAAUACACACCUCCUUCACUCACUUGAGAGCCUGCCAGCUAGACCUCCCCUGGGUGUGUGCCUGUCUGGAGCAUGCAGCAAUCUUUGGUUUAAAAUAGUUCAAAACUACAGCCUCUCAUAGCUGUUUUUUUCUCAGAAUGGAAAUAUCUGCAACAGCAGCCAGUGUCACUCCUGCAUUGCUGCUUGGUGAAUUAGUGCAAGAAAUUAACAAAGACGAUUUGACUCAAUCUGAGAGAAUGUUUAGCCUUGCUUUGGAAGUGAGGCAAGCUGGCAACGAUCUCUGAUUUUUCACUGCUAAUGCAUUGAGUGAUAAUUACUCCCCAGUAGACCUACAUAAAUUCCAACAUUCUUAACUGGUGCUUCAUGAAUACACCAAGGGGGAAAAAGUACCCUCGGGCAUUAAUCAAAUUUACCAAGCUACUACUCCUUGCUGCUUAAAAGAUACAUCUGCAAUUAUUUAUACAUAGAUCUAUUUUUAUAUGUCUACUAACACUGCUCAUGCGUGCGCUCACCCACACAUUUGGCAUAACAACAUGGCAAGCAUUUGUAAGUAUGCUCCAAAUGUCAGUGUGGGGGUAAUUGCAGAACAUGGAUCUCGCCUUCAUCUGUAGGGCUCUUUGUUUUCAACUGUAAAUCAUGAUGUUUAAUUCUCCCACUUCACACCUGGGUAGGCAGUGGCCACAGCAUGUGUUAAAAUUUAUUUUCUAUAGAUUUAAAUUUUUUUUUUUUUAACCACCAAUACCUCAGGGACCUGCAACCAGUCUUGCACCUCAAAUCUUCAGUAAAAGCUCAGUACUGAAUUUUCAGAAAUUGACAGGCAAUUUCUACUUUUGCAAUGGCCUGAGCUUUGCGGGACUGCAGUAGCAAAGGCUAAAUGUGAAAAGGAAAUGGGUGUGAGCAAAAGCCCUUUCUCUCCACAGUGUCCACUGCCCUUCGAUUAAGAGACCAGCAUUUGUUGUCUGUGUAGGAGCUAUUUCUAAACUCUCUUAGCUGGAGGCAAUGUACACCAGACCAGUGGGGUGGGAGCAAUAAAGAAGAAAUGCAGUAAAGAACAAAUUCUUUUCAGAUUAGCUGAUUGGCAGUUGUAAAUAAUGCAGCUCUAGCACUAAAGUAAGAAAGAGCAGCUUCAACCUUGGCACUCAUUAUUUUGCUGUAAGCCUUUUUUCCUAGGAAUGUUUUUCUCUUUCAAGACUUAAACUAUGUUAACUCCUUAUGAUCCAGUCAUUUGUCCAAAAGGGUGAACUGUAAAAACCCUUUGUUGAAACCUCAAAGUUGUGGAUGUGAAAUGAUAGCGAGAAACAAUGGUAUUCUCAAACACUCUUCCCACUUACACCGAAAUUAUGACAGAAAACAUGUACACUUUGGGUUAAAUACCAUUCAUUCUGCAUAAGACCUGACAAGCAUUUUGAAAAAAAUGUUAAAGAAAUUAGGCACAUGAUUUAUAUGCAUGGCUACAUGAAGAACUCAGAUUGUUAAAAAUGGGAAGAGCAUAUAUGAAAUGGUCAUUUAGUGAUUCUAAAGAUAUUUUCAUUCUCGGCAGUCAUGAGGAUACAGUCAACCAGACUGACCUUUAAAUCCUCUGACCUAGUUCUGAAAGUAAAUUAUCAGACCAAUUAUAGGCUGGAUUUAUUUCAAACUGUUAUAAACAAAAAAUAAGUCUUUUUCCUUAAUUAUUUUCAAUUUAACAAUACAUUUGUGUUCAAUUAUGACAUUUAUUGUGAGAGACGGAAUUUUUUUUAUAAAAUCGUUUGUCCCUCCAAGUAUUUCCAUUGGUAUUUUAUUAAAAUAUUUCUUUCCAAAUUGUUUAUUUUUAUCCUUUAGAUCUAAUCGACUACAUUAUAAAUUUAAAAUAGUGUUGCUAUUUUUCUUAUUGUAAAAUCAAUAAAUGUUCUAAUAAAAUAUGAA
Molecule: long non-coding RNA, 2608 nt
Filed under: Sus scrofa (pig)
Lineage: Eukaryota; Metazoa; Chordata; Mammalia; Artiodactyla; Suidae
Description: lncRNA (ENSSSCG00060019787.1)
Source: RNAcentral